UGGGGAAUAUUGCACAAUGGAGGGAACUCUGAUGCAGCGACGCCGCGUGAACGAAGAAGGCUUUCGAGUCGUAAAGUUCUUUUAUAUGGGAAGAUAAUGACGGUACCAUAAGAAGAAGCCCCGGCUAACUACGUGCCAGCAGCCGCGGUAAUACGUAGGGGGUUAGCGUUGUCCGGAAUCACUGGGCGUAAAGGGUUCGCAGGCGGAAAUGCAAGUCAGGUGUAAAAGGCAGUAGCUUAACUACUGUAAGCAUUUGAAACUGCAUAUCUUGAGAAGAGUAGAGGUAAGUGGAAUUUUUAGUGUAGCGGUGAAAUGCGUAGAUAUUAAAAAGAAUACCGGUGGCGAAGGCGACUUACUGGGCUCAUUCUGACGCUGAGGAACGAAAGCGUGGGUAGCAAACAGG
RNAcentral lists this ribosomal RNA (403 nucleotides) under bacterium. Its description in RNAcentral is "partial 16S ribosomal RNA". It matches the Rfam family "Bacterial small subunit ribosomal RNA", at positions 355 to 776 of the family's 1533-position model. The record is from RNAcentral.